UACGGGGGGAGCAAGCGUUGUUCGGAUUUACUGGGCGUAAAGGGCGCGUAGGCGGUCAGCACAAGUCAGUUGUGAAAUCUCCGAGCUUAACUCGGAAAGGUCAACUGAAACUGUGCGACUAGAGUGCAGAAGGGGCAACUGGAAUUCUUGGUGUAGCGGUGAAAUGCGUAGAUAUCAAGAGGAACACCUGCGGCGAAGGCGGGUUGCUGGGCUGACACUGACGCUGAAGCGCGAAAGCCAGGGGAGCAAACGGG
This 254-nucleotide ribosomal RNA is filed under the name uncultured bacterium. Its description in RNAcentral is "partial 16S ribosomal RNA". It matches the Rfam family "Bacterial small subunit ribosomal RNA", at positions 524 to 776 of the family's 1533-position model. The record is from RNAcentral.